AGAAAAAGCAACUGAAGGAAGGCUGAGGUAUCAAAAAGCUCAUCUUCAGGACUUCAUGCAGCUAAAGAGGAGCCGUAAUCAAUUAAAGACCGACUUGUGAAGGAGCUAUUGUGUGCAGUUCCAUUCAGACAUUGCUGAGCUGUCUUUUAGACUGCCUGUGGGGAAACACUGCUUGCUUCCUGAGGUAUUUCUUGUGAUAAGACGCUUAACUGAUUUAUGGAGGUGGCAAAUGAUGGGUGCUACUAUGUGACAAUCAACAUCACUUUGACAUUUGAAAGCACCUGUAAGAGACUAUUCUUUUGUAUCAUUGACUCAAAGUUUGCUGGUAACGGGACUGCUGCUGGAUCCUGGUGGUGACUAUUAUUUGUAAUAAACUGGUCGGACCAACAUUUGAACCAUUGUUUCUUAAUCUCACGCCGGGCAUACAU
Long non-coding RNA from Gallus gallus (chicken), 428 nucleotides. NCBI's taxonomy places the organism in Eukaryota, Metazoa, Chordata, Aves, Galliformes, Phasianidae. The record is from Ensembl.